CCCCUCUCAGGGUCCCACCUGGAGAGUUUCCAGUCCUCUACCAGUCUCGGUUACAGGAGGGAGAGUCAAGCAGAGGCCUGUCCGGUCCAUUCCUAGCUUGGGCAGUGUCUAGCGAGUGGAAGGAAAUCUGCAACAAGU
Molecule: small nucleolar RNA, 138 nt
Organism: Ornithorhynchus anatinus (platypus)
Lineage: Eukaryota; Metazoa; Chordata; Mammalia; Monotremata; Ornithorhynchidae
Source: RefSeq, a predicted model, not a curated record